GACAGAGGAGCCAAGCGUUGUCCGGAUUGACUGGGCGUAAAGCGCACGCAGGCGGUCGCGCGCGUGGGGUGUGAAAUCUCCUGGCUUAACUGGGAGGGUGCGCCGGAAACUGGAGUGCUCGAACGUGGGAGAGGAAAGCGGAAUUCCUGGUGUAGCGGUGAAAUGCGUAGAUAUCAGGAGGAACACCUGCGGUGUAGACGGCUUUCUGGACCAUUGUUGACGCUGAGACACGAAAGCGUGGGUAGCAAACAGG
This 253-nucleotide ribosomal RNA is filed under the name uncultured bacterium. Its description in RNAcentral is "partial 16S ribosomal RNA". It matches the Rfam family "Bacterial small subunit ribosomal RNA", at positions 524 to 776 of the family's 1533-position model. The record is from RNAcentral.